GAGAAGAUGGGGUUGAGGGGAGCGCACAAGAGAAAGAGAGUGGAACUGUACGCGGUAGUUUGUCAAUUUGACACAAGCUGGAGUUAUCUGAAAGGAGGGAACUGCAAUUGAGAAAAUGCCUCCGUAAGACCCAGCUAUUCGCAAACCUGCUGCGGUCCAACAAUGUCUGGCUGUGAAUGGAAAGUCCAAGAAUCUAGUAGUCGUUCAGUCCACAAGACUGGGUGUCAGCUUAUCUGUACACGCUGGAAUCCCAAAGAAGCAGGCUCCAAUGCCAGUGAAGGAAUGGAUGUGCUGACCAGGUUUUCACUGUGUAGUGCUGGCUGAACUGAAACUCACUCAGAGAUCUGCCUGUCUCUUAAAGGUGUAUGUGGCCACCUCCUGGCUCAUGAAUUGUUUUACACAUGCUGUCCAAAUUCCUUAGUUUGAAAAUGGUAUUGUAGUGGUAUUGUGUUCCCCAAAAUAUUGUACACCCUAAUAAACUUUUCUGGGGUCAGAGACAGAACAGCCACAAUAUUAAACAUAGAGGAUAGGCAGUGGUAACACACGCCUUUAAUCCUAGCAUUCCAGAGGUAGAAAUCCCUCUGGAUCAAGGCCACAUUGGAAACAGCCAGGCAUGGUGACACACGCCUUGAAUCCCAAGAAGUGAGCCUUUAAUCCCAGGAAGUGAUGGCAGAAGGCAGAAAGGUAUAUAAGGCAUGAAGACCAGGAACUAGAAGCAUUUGGCUGGUUAAGCUUUCAGGCUUUCGAGCAGCACAGUUCAGCUGAGAUUCAUUCUGGAUGAGGACUCAGAGGCAUCCAGUCUGAGGAAACAGAAUCAGCUGAGGAACUGGCAAGGUGAGGAAGCUGUGGCUUGUUCUGCUUCUCUGAUCUUCCAGUUCACCCCAAUAACUGGCCUCAGGUUUGAUUUUUAUUAAUAAGUACCUAUAAGAUUCAUGUUACAUCUGGCGCCCAACGUUUGUGGUACGAAUUCUGGAAAAAGUCACUUGCCUGUGGCCUUUCGGGCCCCAGCUCAGACCUAAGCUACACGUUGCCAAUUGUGGUGGCACACCGCACGCCGGCAGGAUUUGCUGAAGGAGGGAGAGGCAGGAGGAUCCCGAGUUUGAGACCAGCUUGGGAGGCUUGCUAAGGAGAAGCUACGGCUGAUGGGGGAACUAGCUACAAACGGUGCCAGUGGGACCAUGGAGUCAGUGGCUGCUGCUCUGAGGCUUCUUCUCAUCGUGUUGGUGACUGCGAUGAUGCUGCUACCUGGGACAAAGGGUUUACUGCUACUUGUUCGGAGAAGAAUUGACAGGACCAUUGUAUUACCAAAAAACAUCGGCAAAAGGUCAGUUUAGAAAAGUUUGACAAGACAAAUGGUGGGGAGAAAUUGCUGUGAACAUUUUCUUUUCUAGGGAAGAACGUUUAUGGUUCCGAGAGCAGACAUUUAUCGGACUGUGAUUGCUCCAAACCACAGAGGAGGCCAAAAAAAAAAAAAAAAAAUCUGCAAGGAACCAUGACCA
Long non-coding RNA from Peromyscus californicus insignis, 1499 nucleotides. RefSeq lists it as uncharacterized. The transcript is spliced from 3 exons. Lineage: Eukaryota; Metazoa; Chordata; Mammalia; Rodentia; Cricetidae. The record is from RefSeq and is a predicted model, not a curated record.